RNAcentral lists this long non-coding RNA (578 nucleotides) under Nicotiana benthamiana. RNAcentral describes it as "long non-coding RNA (NBEN_LNC025269)". The record is from RNAcentral. Lineage: Eukaryota; Viridiplantae; Streptophyta; Magnoliopsida; Solanales; Solanaceae.
AUUUCUCUUUCACACCUAUUGGAAGUUGUCACCAGAAAAGGGAUGAAAGAGGAAACAUUUUUAUUGGGGAUUUCAGUUUGAGCAUCGUUUGCAUUGAGGUCUGUUUUUUUUUCUUCUGUUGAUUUAAGGCUGGGUGUGGUAGAUGAUUCAAUGUGUAGGUGAACCAAUGGCAGAGGGCUGAUAUUAGGGGCGUAUGCACCAUAGAACUAAGGUUUAAUCGAAUUCAAUACUUUCAAGACACUUGUGGUGUUAGAGUUGUUCAAGGAAGAAUCAGGUGAUUGAAAGGUUUUGGUUUUUGAGGCUGUCUGAUGUGGUGCUACAUUAGUUGGGAAGGGUAUUUUUUGCGCCAAUUGAUUCACAGUAAGGGCUUUUUUGGGCCAAAAGGUAAAUGGAGGGUGAUAUUGAUCUAUUUCUAACAUCUAACAGUUCAAGGAUAUUUUUUGCCCUUUUUUGUAAAGAAUAUCUCCAAAAAAAAUCUUAAAAAGUACAAAAUAGUGAAUAUUCAAAAGAAUAUUCUUUAUGUUCAUAUCUGAAUCUAUCCUAACGUUACUUCUUCUGCUCGCCCUUAUUAUCUUCCG